UCACACGAGCUGCUAUGGUAUUUAAAAACCACUAACGGUGUCGAACCCGACACCUAGUAUUUUCGAGUUAAAUACCAAAACUUCACCAUCAACACUCAAUUUUGCAAUUCAGCAAUCAAUUAAUAAUCCAACCAUAUCAUCAAAUGUGCAAUUUCUAGCAAGCAAAUCAUCAAGAACCAUCAUAAAACUAUAAUGGUCAUAACCGGUAGAACGGGCCACUCGCGCAUCUCCGAGUUGAAAUCCGGAAAUCAAACCAAAUGAGUUCAGAAGAUUUCCAAAUUUGAAUAUGUUGUGAGGACACAUAAAUAAACAUUUUUCAUGAAGACACCUCAACCCAGAUUCUUCUAUAUUCAGCUCAGUAAAUCGCUCAAUUCAGUACAAAAACUGUGUCCGUUUUCAAAAAGUCUGUUUUCCAAAACCAGUUUAGUUAAAGAUCCAAAAAUUGUCCAUUUGAUCUGAAAUUUAAUUAUGUUAAACUAGAAGAUAUAAAAAACAAUUUUAAUGAAGAAACCAUUUUGAAAUUAGAACCCUAAAAGUUGAUAAAAACCCCUAAAAUCCCAAAAGGUCACAAAUUCCAGCACAGUCCGAGAUUCUGUUUGCAAAUAACGAAGCUGAUAUAUCAUUCUUUUAAAUCCCUAAAAAUCUUGAGAAAAAUAUAUGUCAUAGAUAAAUAUGUUUAAAACAUUUAUUAAUAAGGAAGCAACCUCAAAAUCGCAACACAUUUCGGUUCACAUAAAUGGCAAACGGCGAGUGUCCAGAAAUCAGUUCUGAAGAACAACCACUGAAUUCGACUAAACCAUCCUCAAUGGUGCUAAUCUCACUAAUUAGAUUAACAUUAAUCUAUUAUAAGGCAAAUAUAACCAUUAUAUAUUAUCAUUAAUGCAUACUUAAGCUAAUCUAAACAACCCUUAAGCAUAAUUAACCCCUUAAAUAAGGUUUAGUGAGUGAACUCAUUGGUUUAGCGGGUCGAUGAGUCCACGGCGAUGGCGACGCAGAGGUGAGCGACAAACAAGCCCACGGAGACACCAACCAAGGCCGGGAAGUGCUCGAAAACAGGCCACGAAGCCUCACGGCUUGCUGCUGACUUUGCUUCUGCUUGCUGGUCGAGGGAGCAAAACCAAGCAACUCCAGCGGCUGGAAACGGCAAGAAACGGCCAAGCGAGAGGCGGAUGGGGAAUGGUGGCUCACGGCCACACAACCAAAGGGGAAAAGGAGAGAGAAAUGGGUAUGAGGUGAGGGAGAGUGAUGAGGAAAUUCGUCCAAAUGAGGGGUGGAGAGAGAAAGGGAGAGAAAUGAUGGACAAAGGAGAAAACUUGGGGAAGAAGAAGCUUAGGAAGGAAAGGAGGAAGUUGCUGCAGCUUGGAGGAGGGGCAAGAGCCACAAAAGUCUUGCCAAAAAGUCAAGAACACUCAAGUAGAAGCCCCAAAGUCUUUAGCCACACAAUUGCGUAAACUUGAGGAAGAAGUAGAAAGGAGAGAGAAGUGGGUCUCCCUUUGC
RNAcentral lists this long non-coding RNA (1497 nucleotides) under Eucalyptus grandis. Its description in RNAcentral is "long non-coding RNA (EGRA_LNC005546)". The record is from RNAcentral. Lineage: Eukaryota; Viridiplantae; Streptophyta; Magnoliopsida; Myrtales; Myrtaceae.